GGCGAACGCUGGCGGCGUGCUUAACACAUGCAAGUCGAACGGAAAGGCCCUGCUUUUGUGGGGUGCUCGAGUGGCGAACGGGUGAGUAACACGUGAGUAACCUGCCCUUGACUUUGGGAUAACUUCAGGAAACUGGGGCUAAUACCGGAUAGGAGCUCCUGCUGCAUGGUGGGGGUUGGAAAGUUUCGGCGGUUGGGGAUGGACUCGCGGCUUAUCAGCUUGUUGGUGGGGUAGUGGCUUACCAAGGCUUUGACGGGUAGCCGGCCUGAGAGGGUGACCGGCCACAUUGGGACUGAGAUACGGCCCAGACUCCUACGGGAGGCAGCAGUGGGGAAUAUUGCACAAUGGGCGGAAGCCUGAUGCAGCGACGCCGCGUGCGGGAUGACGGCCUUCGGGUUGUAAACCGCUUUCGCCUGUGACGAAGCGUGAGUGACGGUAAUGGGUAAAGAAGCACCGGCUAACUACGUG
RNAcentral lists this ribosomal RNA (468 nucleotides) under uncultured bacterium. RNAcentral describes it as "partial 16S ribosomal RNA". It matches the Rfam family "Bacterial small subunit ribosomal RNA", at positions 28 to 507 of the family's 1533-position model. The record is from RNAcentral.